GACUUGUUGCAAGGUUGUUCCAACAAGUCCGAUACAGUCAUGAUGUAACAAUAUUGUUACAACCUUGUGUGGUCAACCUUGUAACAUUCUUGUUAUAUCAUGACUGUAUCAGACUUGUUAGAACAACCUUGUAACAAGUC
This 140-nucleotide microRNA precursor is filed under the name Paramuricea clavata. Lineage: Eukaryota; Metazoa; Cnidaria; Anthozoa; Malacalcyonacea; Plexauridae. The record is from RNAcentral.